GACGAACGCUGGCGGCGUGCUUAACACAUGCGAGUCGAACGGUAAGGCCCUUCGGGGUACACGAGUGGCGAACGGGUGAGUAACACGUGGGUGAUCUGCCCUGCACUUCGGGAUAAGCCUGGGAAACUGGGUCUAAUACCGGAUAGGACCACUGCCUGCAUGGGUGGUGGUGGAAAGCUUUUGCGGUGUGGGAUGGGCCCGGGGCCUAUCAGCUUGUUGGUGGGGUGAUGGCCUACCAAGGCGACGACGGGAAGCCGGCCUGAGAGGGUGACCGGCCACACUGGGACUGAGAUACGGCCCAGACUCCUACGGGAGGCAGCAGUGGGGAAUAUUGCACAAUGGGCGCAAGCCUGAUGCAGCGACGCCGCGUGAGGGAUGACGGCCUUCGGGUUGUAAACCUCCUUCAGCACCGACGAAGCGCAAGUGACGGUAGGUGCAGAAGAAGGACCGGCCAACUACGUGCCAGCCGCCGCCGUAA
This 478-nucleotide ribosomal RNA is filed under the name uncultured bacterium. RNAcentral's name for it is "partial 16S ribosomal RNA". It matches the Rfam family "Bacterial small subunit ribosomal RNA", at positions 28 to 523 of the family's 1533-position model. The record is from RNAcentral.